UACAGAGUAGUUUUACAAGCGUCAAGUGUCCGUGGGAUGGGAUGUUGCCCCGGAACGAAGCCGAUUCAAUCGACGCGGUUUGUAGAAUGCAUUCGCUGUC
RNAcentral lists this non-coding RNA (100 nucleotides) under Streptococcus sp. RNAcentral describes it as "THF-I sequence". It matches the Rfam family "THF (Tetrahydrofolate) riboswitch aptamer". From Rfam's summary of the family: THF riboswitch presents a pseudoknot that joins P1-P2 and the loop of P3 and two THF binding. Lineage: Bacteria; Bacillati; Bacillota; Bacilli; Lactobacillales; Streptococcaceae. The record is from RNAcentral. RNAcentral also lists the same sequence under 1 other name.